AGAGGGGGCAAGCGUUGCUCGGAAUUACUGGGCGUAAAGGGCGCGUAGGCGGAAUGGCAAGUCGGUCGUGAAAUCCUUCGGCUCAACCGAAGAACGUCGAUCGAAACUGCCGUUCUUGAGGAUUGCAGAGGAGACUGGAAUUCCCGGUGUAGCGGUGAAAUGUGUAGAGAUCGGGAGGAACACCGGUGGCGAAGGCGGGUCUCUGGGCAAUUCCUGACGCUGAGGCGCGAAAGCGUGGGGAGCAAACGGGAUUAGAUACCCCGGUAGUCCACGCUGUAAACGAUGACGACUAGGUGUGGGGGGGUUCAGUCCCUUCCGUGCCGCAGCUAACGCAUUAAGUCGUCCGCCUGGGGAGUACGGCCGCAAGGUUGAA
Molecule: ribosomal RNA, 373 nt
Filed under: uncultured bacterium
Lineage: Bacteria
Description: bacterial SSU rRNA
Rfam family: Bacterial small subunit ribosomal RNA
Source: RNAcentral